CUUCUUUUUCUCUGUCGCCUCUCUCUCUUUUAGCAGAAGAGUGGACGAUGAUGUUUUGGGAUUGAGCUUCACCAAGGAGAAAGCAAAGGCAGCAAAGCAUUUUUUAUGAUGAUGAUAAAGGAGAUUUCUUGAUAUUUUGAUCUGGAGCUUGGGAAAAUCAAGACUAAAUGUUUUGCUGCAAGAGAGUGUAAUGGUGGACGACAUGAAUGGCACAACAGGGAGCCAUUGAGCCAGUUCAACGUUGGGGACUGAUUGAGUGAAGCAACAACGGUAAAUAAUCGACUUAUGGAACUUUCAUGUGAAAGCUAAUUUCUUCCACGGAUCAAGGGAGUUUGUGUUAAAUGCAUUUUUAGAAUUCCGUAUUUUGUAGUUGGGGCACAUGUAUAUGUCAUAUGUUGUGACAUUUUGAUUUAUCUACAAGUUGCAGAGAGAAUGUUGUGGCUGGUGAUUUUACUGCUGAUAUGGGUCGCAGAUUUCUUCAUCUCCCUCUGUGAGAAACUGAAUAAAUCUUCCCCUACGAAGUGUUUGGCUAACACACCAAAGAAAAAUAACAAAUCACUAGGAUCCCACAAUUAUUGGAUAGAGGACUUUCAUAGGACAUGGAAAAUGGCGUUGUAAGCAUUAACUGGAACAGAAAAAAAAAAUAGAGAGAGGCGACAGAGAAAAACUGUGUUGUGUAUAUAUGGUAUACAAUCACCAUAUAAGUUUAAGUUAAUAUCGAGACAAAAUGUGUUGUGUAUAUAUGGUGAAAUAAAGAAGAGAAUAAACAUAAGAAACAUGAAGAACAAGCUCUUCAAGUCACUGUUCAUGAACUCAUAAAAGGGUAAACUAAUGAAAGUGUUACAGUUGGUCGAGUGUUUAGAGUGGAAGACUCAUAAUAAGAUUGACAAGAAACCAAGAGUCAAGUCAUUGUACAUGAAAGAGAUUUUGAAGAGAUUUAACACAACAUCUAAAGAAAUUAUUCAAACAUCACGGGAAAACUAUACGAGUUUGUGCUCUACGCAUACAUAGAGGACAAGCGUCAUAAGAGCCAUGAGUGGCAAUAAAAGAUGUGUGAUCGGUGGUAUGCUUCAUUUGAGUAAUCAUUUUUUUGUAUAUUCUCUUUCAUCAGAUUUUUUUUCUUUGUAUUCUUUUUCUAACUAACAGUAUCAAGAAUCAAGGUUUUGAUGGAAUAUGUUUCUAAUCUGAAUCAGUACAUCAUUUGUUUCUAUUAAGAUCUUA
This is a non-coding RNA of Camelina sativa (false flax), 1221 nucleotides long. The record is from RefSeq and is a predicted model, not a curated record. NCBI's taxonomy places the organism in Eukaryota, Viridiplantae, Streptophyta, Magnoliopsida, Brassicales, Brassicaceae.